UGAUUCUAUUGGAAAAUUUGUUCUCUUGUGUGACUAGAAUACCAGAUGGAUCCUUGAAUUCGUGUGUUCUAGUUUGUUGAAUCAAUACAUUUGCUUUUCAAUCUUCGACAUCUUGGUUGUAAUUCCGCUACUUGUUUGGUGUUUGAUAUCCGAUUGUGUAGUCUUGGGACUUACAAUUGGUAUCAGAGCCUAAGUAGUCUUGCGAAGGCUCGGUUGGAUCGGAUAUCUUGAAGAUUAAAGUGUGUUUUGCUGCUGAUCGGUGUUCAGAUUUGACAAGAAAAGGUUUAAUCCGUUGGUGUGCAAGUUUGGUUGUGUUUGCAGAAUAUUUGGAAAGUUGUUGCAGGAAAUCCUCAAACAAAUUCGGAGAUAAGAUCACCGGAUCUUUCGGGACUUUAGUUGACAAAUCUUGUGAUUGAAAUUUCCAAAACAACAUUAAGUUUCCAAAACAUAAGUGUGUGACUUCAUUGUGCGAGUUCAAGUGUUUUUGGACCUUUGGUUUGGGCUUGGGAAGAGUGUGCGAGCCCAAAACAAGUGUGCGACAUCUGAAACUUAUCGACUUUUAUUUGGGCUUUUAAGGAAUCAGGCACAAUCUUUAGUCAAGUGUGAGAUUCAGAUUCAAGUGUGCGACUUGAAUCUGAGUGUGCAGUCAACUAUUCACUUUGAACUGUGCGACUGAAAGGGCUUGGAUUGCGCGACUAAAAGUUUGGACUGUGCGACUCUGAAGUUUGGACUAUGCGACUCUGAACUGUACGACUAAGUGGACUGUGGAAUUGUUAAGGUUCAUCUGAAAGUGUGCGAGUUUAGUUACUGAACUGUGCGACUUGUAUUUGAACCUUUUUCAAGUGUGCGACUGGUUAGGUUCACUUGAAAGUGUGCGAGUUCAUCUUUGAACUAUGCGACUUGUACUUGAACCUUUCUCAACUGUGCGAUUGCGCCUUGUCACAACCUUCAAGUGUGCGACUGAAGUUUGCGGCCAAUUGGACUGUUUGGAUUCCUACUUGGAACCUUAUAUUGUGUUGGACUGUUUGACAAUUUUUGGACCUUCUGAACUUUUAUUUGAAUUGUAUUGUACCAAUAAAGGCUAUUAAUCAAUUGUUUAAUCUUUAAAA
This is a long non-coding RNA of Helianthus annuus (common sunflower), 1109 nucleotides long. RefSeq lists it as uncharacterized. NCBI's taxonomy places the organism in Eukaryota, Viridiplantae, Streptophyta, Magnoliopsida, Asterales, Asteraceae. The record is from RefSeq and is a predicted model, not a curated record. The transcript is spliced from 2 exons.